This 320-nucleotide RNase P RNA is filed under the name Gammaproteobacteria bacterium. RNAcentral's name for it is "RNase P RNA component class A". It matches the Rfam family "Bacterial RNase P class A". Rfam says of the family: Ribonuclease P (RNase P) is a ubiquitous endoribonuclease, found in archaea, bacteria and eukarya as well as chloroplasts and mitochondria. Its best characterised activity is the generation of mature 5'-ends of tRNAs by cleaving the 5'-leader elements of precursor-tRNAs. The record is from RNAcentral. Lineage: Bacteria; Pseudomonadati; Pseudomonadota; Gammaproteobacteria.
GAAGCACGCCAGACCGUCGCUGGUGCAAUCUGGGAAACCAGGCACUGGAGGAACGUCCGGACUGCAUAGGGCAGCGUAGGAGGUAAUACCUCUCCACCGUGAGGUGAGGAUCAGAGCAACAGAGACGAGCCGGUUUAGUCCGGGUGAAACGGGCAAUCUCUACGCGCAGCAAUACCAAGUAGGCCAGCGUUGAUGUGGCUCCGCAGAGCUGGCGGGUAGGUAGCACCGAGCCGGUGGGGUGACUCCCGGCCCAGAGUAAUGACGGUCACAUCGGGGGCAACCCCGAUGCACAGAAUCCGGCUUAUCGGCGCGCUUCACAC